UGGGGAAUAUUGGACAAUGGGCGAAAGCCUGAUCCAGCAAUGCCGCGUGAGUGAUGAAGGCCUUAGGGUUGUAAAGCUCUUUUACUAGGGAUGAUAAUGACAGUACCUAGAGAAUAAGCUCCGGCUAACUCCGUGCCAGCAGCCGCGGUAAUACGGAGGGAGCUAGCGUUGUUCGGAAUUACUGGGCGUAAAGCGUGCGUAGGCGGUUAUUUAAGUCAGGGGUGAAAUCCCGGAGCUCAACUCCGGAACUGCCCUUGAAACUAGAUAACUAGAAUCAUGGAGAGGUGAGUGGAAUUCCGAGUGUAGAGGUGAAAUUCGUAGAUAUUCGGAAGAACACCAGUGGCGAAGGC
RNAcentral lists this ribosomal RNA (350 nucleotides) under uncultured bacterium. RNAcentral describes it as "bacterial SSU rRNA". It matches the Rfam family "Bacterial small subunit ribosomal RNA", at positions 355 to 722 of the family's 1533-position model. The record is from RNAcentral.